GAUGAACGCUGGCGGCGUGCCUAACACAUGCAAGUCGAACGGGUGUGGUAUCAGGGAAAAGGGGUUUACUUCUUUGACCAGAUAACACACUAGUGGCGGACGGGUGAGUAACGCGUGGAUAACCUGCCUUAUACAGGGGGAUAACAGGGAGUAAAUUCUUGCUAAUACCCCAUAGGUAUGUCUGACGCAUGUUGGACAUAUUAAAGCUUUGGCGGUAUAAGAUGGGUCCGCGUCUGAUUAGCUAGUUGGUGGGGUAAAGGCCCACCAAGGCGACGAUCAGUAGCCGGCUUGAGAGAGUGGACGGCCACAUUGGGACUGAGACACGGCCCAAACUCCUACGGGAGGCAGCAGUGGGGAAUAUUGCACAAUGGGGGAAACCCUGAUGCAGCGACGCCGCGUGAAGGAAGAAGGUCCUCGGAUCGUAAACUUCUAUCAGCAGGGAAGAAGGAAGUGACAGUACCUGAGUAAGAAGCCCCGGCUAACUACGUG
This 489-nucleotide ribosomal RNA is filed under the name uncultured bacterium. RNAcentral describes it as "bacterial SSU rRNA". It matches the Rfam family "Bacterial small subunit ribosomal RNA", at positions 28 to 507 of the family's 1533-position model. The record is from RNAcentral.